Molecule: long non-coding RNA, 383 nt
Organism: Zalophus californianus (California sea lion)
Lineage: Eukaryota; Metazoa; Chordata; Mammalia; Carnivora; Otariidae
Exons: 3
Source: RefSeq, a predicted model, not a curated record
GGAAACUGCGGGGCUGGCAGAGCUCAAUGAAUAAUUUAAUCUGGAUUUCAUUCACAAACGGCAGCGCACUCCUAGGGAAAGGACCGGUGCGCUUCCCCAGAUCGGAACUGGAGCUUCUGCAGAGCUCCAGUGUCAUUUCAACCACUUCCUAAACAUCACUGCUGAAUCCAGUCCUUCCUGUACCUCCAGUAUUUUCACGGAACCUUCCAGGCCCACCCUAAACUUGCUCUUCAUUUGGACUUCUCUAGCUCUGUAACUGUGUCACUUCGUUAGCCCGACUCUGAAGCUCAGGCUGAACUGAACCAGAACCCCGAUCACCCCGUUUUUAGUCUGGAGUUUUCCUUGUCAACAGCAUGCUGUUUUCCUACUCAAUAAACACUUUU